RNAcentral lists this ribosomal RNA (253 nucleotides) under uncultured bacterium. RNAcentral describes it as "partial 16S ribosomal RNA". It matches the Rfam family "Bacterial small subunit ribosomal RNA", at positions 524 to 776 of the family's 1533-position model. The record is from RNAcentral.
GACAGAGGGUGCAAGCGUUGUUCGGAAUCAUUGGGCGUAAAGCGCGCGUAGGCGGCUUGGUAAGUCGAAUGUGAAAGCCCUGGGCUCAACCCAGGACGUGCAUUCGAAACUGCCCAGCUUGAGUCCUGGAGAGGGCGGUGGAAUUCCCAGUGUAGAGGUGAAAUUCGUAGAUAUUGGGAGGAACACCAGUGGCGAAGGCGACCGCCUGGACAGAGACUGACGCUGAGGCGCGAAAGCGUGGGUAGCAAACAGG